UCAAAGAAAAAGACGAUGACUUUGAAGUCUACAAGUCAUAUUUCUGUGAACGAGUGAACUGGCAACAUGUCGAGCCCGUAAGUAACUAGGUUUUUCCUAUAGAAAUUAUAGCAAGUCACAGUAAAAUCUUGAACCCAUAACAACAACAACAACAGCAGCUGGAUCAAUUGGUUCUUCGGAAUCAAGGGCAACGAGUUCCUCUGCCACGUGCCCACCAACUACUUUCAGGACACGUUCAACCAGAUGGGCCUGGAGUACUUCAGCCAGCACUGGACGUGAUCCUGAAGCCGGCGUUCGACAGUUCCUCGGGCUUGUUCUACGACGAUGAGAAAAAGUGGUACGGCAUGAUUCACGCCCGAUACAUCAGGUCGGAGCGUGGCGUGAAUGAUAUGCACCGAAACUAUAUGAGAGGAGACUUUGAAUCGUGUCCGAAUAUCUCCUGUAAUAGGAAGAACACCCUGCCAGUGGGCCUCAGCGAUGUGCGGGGCAAGUCAACGGUGAAGAUCUACUGCCCACGCUGUAAAAACUACUUCCAUCCUAAAACUGAUACACAGCCAUGUUCGAGCCCAGCUUCCCGGACAUCUUCUUAACGCAGCUGCCGAACUUGAGACCGCCCCUGGGCGACCCACGGUAAGUAAUUCUCCGAAUAUAGUCCUGGUUGUUUUCUAAACAAAGCGCUUGAACUUGCAGUCCCUAUGCUUUCGGGUUGCACCAGAAGGCCUUGAUGCCACUUAAAUCGCCCAAGUCACCAAAGAAUAUCGAAUCCUCGGUCAGCUAGUCCUCCUCCUCGCUCCGGCAUUCCGAAGUCAAGCGCUUCAAUGUUCUAGGGAUGACGUGAUUUUUUAACUCCACACAAAAGAAAGCAGAAAUGUUUGUACGAUAUAUUGUUGUUGCAAUUAAACAGAUUCCGCAGUGCGUUGAUAUGGCCAGCUAUCACCUACUAAUACACCUCAUACACCUCUCCUCUAAAUACUUGGUUCAAAGUGUUCGGUCCAAGCUGGUCAUAUCAAGCACUCAUUCGAGUAGCAAAGCAUACUUUUCGUUAAACGUGGUAAUCACCUGGGUAUAAUAAUAAUAUUAUUCAAUAAAAUAUUCAAUUCAGUUUUUUAUUUAAUUUUAUGUUAAAAGAGUUUCCAAAAGUGUUUUCCUGACUACAUCAAAUAUUUUUUGAUAAUUUAAUUUCUUUAAAU
Molecule: long non-coding RNA, 1190 nt
Filed under: Drosophila melanogaster (fruit fly)
Lineage: Eukaryota; Metazoa; Arthropoda; Insecta; Diptera; Drosophilidae
Description: Su(Ste):CR42411 (Dmel_CR42411)
Source: RNAcentral